CUCUUUCAGCAGGGACGAAGCGGAAGUGACGGUACCUGCAGAAGAAGCGCCGGCCAACUACGUGCCAGCAGCCGCGGUAAGACGUAGGGCGCGAGCGUUGUCCGGAAUUAUUGGGCGUAAAGGGCUUGUAGGCGGUCCGUCGCGUCAGGAGUGAAAACUCAGGGCUUAACCCUGAGCCUGCUUUUGAUACGGGCGGACUAGAGGGAUGCAGGGGAGAACGGAAUUCCUGGUGGAGCGGUGGAAUGCGCAGAUAUCAGGAGGAACACCGGUGGCGAAGGCGGUUCUCUGGGCAUUACCUGACGCUGAGGAGCGAAAGUGUGGGGAGCGAACAGGAUUAGAUACCCUGGUAGUCCACACCGUAAACGUUGGGCGCUAGGUGUGGGACUCAUUCCACGAGUUCCGUGCCGCAGCUAACGCAUUAAGCGCCCCGCCUGGGGAGUACGGCCGCAAGGCUAAAACUCAAAGGAAUUGACGGGGGCCCGCACAAGCGGCGGAGCAUGCGGAUUAAUUCGAUGCAACGCGAAGAACCUUACCUGGGUUUGACAUAUAGAGAAAUCCUCCAGAGAUGGGGGGUCCGUAAGGGCUCUAUACAGGUGGUGCAUGGCUGUCGUCAGCUCGUG
This 620-nucleotide ribosomal RNA is filed under the name uncultured bacterium. Its description in RNAcentral is "bacterial SSU rRNA". It matches the Rfam family "Bacterial small subunit ribosomal RNA", at positions 431 to 1064 of the family's 1533-position model. The record is from RNAcentral.